AUUGAACGCUGGCGGCAGGCCUAACACAUGCCAGUCGAGCGGAUGAAGGGAGCUUGCUCCUGGAUUCAGCGUCGGACGGGUGAGUAAUGCCUAGGAAUCUGCCUGGUAGUGGGGGAUAACGUCCGGAAACGGGCGCUAAUACCGCAUACGUCCUGAGGGAGAAAGUGGGGGAUCUUCGGACCUCACGCUAUCAUAUGAGCCUAGGUCGGAUUAGCUAGUUGGUGGGGUAAAGGCCUACCAAGGCGACGAUCCGUAACUGGUCUGAGAGGAUGAUCAGUCACACUGGAACUGAGACACGGUCCAGACUCCUACGGGAGGCAGCAGUGGGGAAUAUUGGACAAUGGGCGAAAGCCUGAUACAGCCAGGCCGCGUGUGUGAGGAAGGUCUUCGGAUUGUAAAGCACUUUAAGUUGGGAGGAAGGGCAGUAAGUUAAUACCUUGCUGUCUUGACGUUACCAACAGAAUAAGCACCGGCUAACUUCGUG
This 484-nucleotide ribosomal RNA is filed under the name uncultured bacterium. RNAcentral describes it as "partial 16S ribosomal RNA". It matches the Rfam family "Bacterial small subunit ribosomal RNA", at positions 30 to 507 of the family's 1533-position model. The record is from RNAcentral.